GCGGGGGUGCCCGAGCCAGGUCAAAGGGGCAGGGUUCAGGUCCCUGUGGCGUAAAUCCCAGCCCUGGCGCUUUUCUCUCGGCAACCCACACGCCGCCACAAAGGCGCGGGUCAUAGCCCCCCGCU
RNAcentral lists this transfer RNA (125 nucleotides) under Pyrobaculum oguniense TE7. RNAcentral's name for it is "tRNA-Leu (CAG) (tRNA-Leu-CAG-2-1)". Lineage: Archaea; Thermoproteati; Thermoproteota; Thermoprotei; Thermoproteales; Thermoproteaceae. The record is from RNAcentral.